This 221-nucleotide unclassified non-coding RNA is filed under the name Hevea brasiliensis (rubber tree). Lineage: Eukaryota; Viridiplantae; Streptophyta; Magnoliopsida; Malpighiales; Euphorbiaceae. The record is from RNAcentral.
UUGACAGUAUCUGCUGCUCUUUCUUUUCUGCUUCUUUGGCCGGCAAGGGAACUUAGAUUGUUUUGCUUUUGUUGAACUGAAACAGGAGGUAGUCAAAAGUGUAAUAUAAUCUUGAGUGCAUUACAGUUAUUAAUUUUUUUAGCUGAACCAUAUAUUCUGCAGUGAAUGUAAUGUUUGUUGCAUUUAUCUAUAUCCAUUUAGGAAAUGUACUGCAAAAAAAA